RNA transcript from Peromyscus leucopus (white-footed mouse), 8386 nucleotides. It is a transcript of the gene named trinucleotide repeat containing adaptor 6A, with no coding region annotated. The record is from RefSeq and is a predicted model, not a curated record. Lineage: Eukaryota; Metazoa; Chordata; Mammalia; Rodentia; Cricetidae. The transcript is spliced from 26 exons.
UACGUGGGCUCAAAAACAAUUUAAAUACAAAAACACACGCAGGUUCCCCUCCUUUCCUUUGCCUUUUGGUCUGGCUCUCCCUACCUUUGCGUUGGUGCCUGACCGAAUGGAAACCCCUUCUUCGUUUUGCAGCCUGUGAGCUCCGGGUACCUGGAGACCAGGCAGGCCCCUGUGCUGCCCCCAGCCCAGGAGCCGUGCCCCCCCAUCAUUCUGCAGUCCUCUGACUCUCAGCCUGGUGUGGAAACUGAGGCCCAGAGAGGUAAUGUGAUUUGCCUAAAGUCAUGCAACUCGUGGCAGAGCCCGGCCUAGAAGCCAGGUGUCCUGGAUCUCAAGACACCCCCCUGCCCGAGGAAUGGAACCGGGAUUUAGUGCAAGAAGAAGAACAGUUGAUGGAAGAAAAGAAAAAGAAAAAAGACGACAAGAAAAAGAAGGAAGCUGCUCAAAAGAAGGCCACUGAACAAAAAAUCAAAGUGCCAGAACAGAUAAAGCCCAGUGUAAGCCAGCCUCAGCCUGCCAACUCUGAUAACGGCACUUCCACAGCAACCAGCACUAAUAAUAAUGCCAAGCGAGCUACAGCCAGCAAUCAGCAGCCGCCGCCGCAGCAGCAACAGCAGCAGCAAGAGCAGCAGCAGCAGCAGCAGCAGCAGCAGCAGCAGCCACAGGCCUUGCCUCGGUAUCCUCGUGAAGUACCUCCACGAUUUCGCCACCAGGAACACAAACAGCUUCUAAAGAGGGGUCAGCAUUUUCCUGUCAUAGCAGCAAACCUGGGAUCUGCUGUUAAGGUGUUAAACAGCCAAUCAGAAAGCAGUGCUGUAACAAAUCAGCAGCCACAAAAUAACGGAGAGGUGCAGAACAGCAAAAACCAGUCAGAUAUAAAUCAUAAUACUUCAGGAUCCCAUUAUGAAAAUUGCCAGCGGGGACCUGUGUCUUCUACAAGUGACUGUAGCACAAGCUCUAAGAAUGCUGUAAAGGACUUGUUGGAAAAAGAAGCAUGGCCCUCGGCCCCUGGCAGUGAUCCCGAGUUGGCUUCAGAAUGUAUGGAUGCUGAUUCUGCCUCCAGUUCUGAGUCAGAGAGAAACAUCACUGUCAUGGCUUCAGGGAACACAGGUGGUGAAAAAGAUGGCCUUCGCAACAGCACUGGACUCGGUUCUCAAAGCAAGUUUGUGGUUGGUAGCAGCAGCAAUAAUGUGGGUCAUGGAAGUAGUACUGGGCCAUGGGGCUUCCCUCAUGGAGCCAUAAUAAGCACAUGUCAGGUCUCUGUGGAUGCUCCUGAAAGCAAAUCAGAAAGUAGUAACAAUAGAAUGAAUGCUUGGGGCACUGUAAGUUCUUCAUCAAAUGGAGGGUUAAAUCCAAGCACUUUGAAUUCAGCUAGCAACCAUGGUGCCUGGCCAGUAUUAGAAAACAAUGGACUUGCCCUAAAAGGGCCUGUAGGGAGUGGGAGUUCUGGCAUCAAUAUUCAGUGUAGUACCAUAGGCCAGAUGCCUAACAAUCAGAGUAUCAACUCUAAAGUCAGUGGCUCUUCUACCCAUGGUACCUGGGGCAGCCUUCAGGAAACGUGUGAGCCUGAAGUAAGUGGUACACAGAAGGUUUCGUUCAGUGGUCAACCUCAGAAUAUCACCACUGAAACAACUGGACCAAAUAACACUACUAACUUUAUGACCUCUAGUUUACCAAACUCCGGUUCAGUACAGAAUAAUGAACUGCCUACUAGUAAUCCAGGGGCCUGGCGUGUGAGCACAAUGAAUCAUCCUCAGAUACAGGCUCCGUCAGUUAUGAAUGGCACUUCCCUUUCUCACCUUAGCAAUGGAGAGUCAAAAACUGGAGGCUCCUACGGUACUACAUGGGGUGCCUAUGGUUCUAAUUACUCUGGAGACAAAUGUGCAGGCCCUAACGGCCAAGCCAAUGGUGACACUGUGAAUGCAACUCUAAUGCAGCCUGGCAUGAAUGGGCCAAUAGGCACUAACUUUCAAGUUCACACAAACAAAGGGGGAGGUGUUUGGGAGCCUGGGACAACGAAUUCCCAGAGUUCACCAUGGGGAAGUGGAAAUGGGGCGAACUCUGGAGGAAGUCGAAGAGGAUGGGGAAGUCCUGCACAGAACACUGGCACUAGUCUACCCAGUGUUGAGUGGAACAAACUGCCUAGCAAUCAGCAUUCCAAUGACAGUGCAAAUGGCAAUGGUAAGAAGUUUACAAAUGGAUGGAAAUCUACUGAGGAAGAGGAUCAGGGUUCUGCCACAUCCCAGACAAGUGAGCAAAGCAGUGUGUGGGCCAAAACAGGAGGCGCAGUGGAGAGUGAUGGCAGUGCAGAGAGCACUGGACGCCUGGAAGAGAAAGUAACCGGGGAAGGGCAGAGUAGAGACAGACGGAAAAUCGAUCAGCACACAUUACUCCAAAGCAUUGUAAACAGAACUGACUUAGAUCCACGUGUCCUGUCCAACUCCGGUUGGGGACAGACUCCUAUUAAGCAGAAUACUGCCUGGGAUACAGAAACAUCACCAAGAGGGGAAAGAAAGACUGACAAUGGGACAGAGGCCUGGGGAAGCUCUGCAACACAGACUUUUAACUCAGGGGCAUGUGUAGAUAAGACUAGCCCUAAUAGUAAUGAUACCUCAUCUGUAUCAGGGUGGGGCGAUCCCAAACCUACUCUGAGGUGGGGAGAUUCCAAAGGCUCAAACUGCCAGGGGGGGUGGGAAGAUGAUUCUGCUGCUACAGGAAUGAUCAAGAGCAAUCAGUGGGGGAAUUGCAAAGAAGAGAAGUCUGCAUGGAAUGAUUCGCAAAAGAACAAACAGGGGUGGGGUGAUGGACAAAAGUCAAGCCAAGGUUGGUCCAUUUCUGCCAGUGAUAAUUGGGGAGAAACUUCCAGGAGUAACCAUUGGGGUGAGGCUAAUAAGAAAUCCAGCUCAGGAGGUAGUGACAGUGACAGGUCCGUUUCUGGUUGGAAUGAACUUGGUAAAACUAGUUCUUUUACUUGGGGAAAUAAUAUAAAUCCAAAUAAUUCAUCAGGAUGGGAUGAAUCUUCUAAACCUAAUUCUUCCCAGGGAUGGGGAGACCCUCCAAAGUGUAAUCAGUCUCUAGGUUGGGGAGAUUCAUCAAAACCAGUUAGUUCUCCAGAUUGGAACAAGCAACAAGACAUUGUUGGAUCGUGGGGAAUUCCACCAGCCACCGGCAAGCCUUCUGGUACAGGCUGGCUGGGAGGACCUAUUCCAGCUCCAACAAAGGAGGAAGAACCCACAGGCUGGGAGGAGCCAUCCCCAGAAUCUAUACGACGAAAAAUGGAGAUUGACGAUGGAACUUCAGCUUGGGGCGAUCCGAGCAAAUACAACUACAAAAAUGUGAACAUGUGGAAUAAAAACAUCCCGGAUGGCAGCGGCCGCCCCGACCAGCAAGCGCAGAUGCAUCGGCUGCUGCCGUCUGCAAAUGCUGUCUCAAGCAAGGAGGCAAGCGGUGGCUCUGGCUGGGGUGAGCCCUGGGGGGAGCCUUCUACUCCAGCCACGACUGUGGAUAAUGGUACUUCAGCCUGGGGUAAGCCCAUAGACAGUGGUCCCAGCUGGGGAGAACCCAUUACUGCAGCAUCCAGUGCAUCCACGUGGGGCUCCAGCUCUGUUGGUCCACAAUCAUUAAGCAAAUCUGGGCCCAAAUCUAUGCAAGAUGGCUGGUGUGGUGAUGAUAUGCCAUUACCUGGAAGUCGCCCCACUGGCUGGGAAGAGGAGGAGGAUGUAGAGAUUGGAAUGUGGAACAGUAACUCGUCUCAAGAGCUUAACUCAUCCUUAAAUUGGCCACCAUAUACCAAGAAAAUGUCAUCAAAGGGUCUGAGUGGCAAAAAAAGGAGAAGGGAAAGGGGAAUGAUGAAAGGUGGAAACAAACAAGAAGAUGCGUGGAUAAAUCCAUUUGUUAAACAGUUUUCAAAUAUCAGUUUUUCAAGAGACUCACCAGAAGAAAAUGUACAGAGCAAUAAGAUGGAUCUUUCUGGAGGAAUGUUACAAGACAAACGAAUGGAGAUAGAUAAACAUAGCCUAAAUAUUGGUGAUUACAAUCGAACGGUCGGGAAAGGUCCUGGUUCUCGGCCUCAGAUUUCCAAAGAGUCUUCCAUGGAGCGCAAUCCUUAUUUUGAUAAGGAUGGCAUUGUAGCAGAUGAAUCCCAAAACAUGCAGUUUAUGUCCAGUCAAAGCAUGAAGCUUCCCCCUUCAAAUAGUGCACUACCUAACCAGGCCCUUGGCUCCAUAGCAGGGCUGGGUACGCAAAACUUGAAUUCUGUUAGACAGAAUGGCAAUCCCAGUAUGUUUGGUGUUGGAAACACAGCAGCACAACCCCGGGGCCUGCAGCAGCCUCCAGCACAACCUCUCAGUUCAUCUCAGCCUAAUCUCCGUGCUCAAGUGCCUCCUCCAUUACUCUCCCCUCAGGUUCCAGUUUCAUUGCUGAAGUAUGCACCAAACAACGGUGGCCUGAACCCGCUCUUUGGCCCUCAACAGGUAGCCAUGCUGAACCAGCUAUCCCAACUAAACCAGCUUUCUCAGAUCUCCCAGUUACAGCGAUUGCUAGCGCAGCAGCAGAGGGUGCAGAAUCCGAGAAGCGUGCCUUCUGCUAACCGACAGCAGCAAGACCAGCAGGGUCGACCUCUUAGUGUACAGCAGCAGAUGAUGCAACAGUCUCGUCAACUUGAUCCAAGCCUGCUGGUGAAGCAGCAGACUCCGCCUUCUCAGCAGCCGCUUCAUCAGCCAGCCAUGAAGUCCUUCCUUGACAAUGUCAUGCCCCACACUACACCUGAGCUGCAGAAAGGGCCAUCGCCAGUAAAUGCUUUCAGCAACUUUCCUAUAGGCUUGAACUCAAACUUGAAUGUAAAUAUGGAUAUGAACAGUAUUAAAGAGCCACAGUCAAGACUAAGGAAGUGGACUACAGUGGACAGCAUUUCUGUGAACACAUCUUUGGAUCAAAACUCCAGCAAACAUGGUGCUAUUUCAAGUGGUUUUAGGCUGGAAGAAUCUCCAUUUGUUCCCUAUGACUUUAUGAAUAGCAGUACUUCACCAGCCAGUCCUCCAGGUUCAAUAGGAGAUGGCUGGCCACGUGCCAAAUCGCCUAACGGCUCUAGCAGUGUUAACUGGCCACCAGAAUUUCGCCCUGGUGAACCAUGGAAAGGUUAUCCAAACAUUGACCCUGAAACUGACCCUUAUGUCACUCCUGGCAGUGUGAUUAACAGUCUUUCGAUUAAUACUGUGCGGGAAGUUGAUCACCUCAGGGACAGGAACAGUGGGUCAUCCUCAUCCUUGAACACCACGCUGCCUUCAACUAGUGCCUGGUCAUCCAUUCGUGCCUCCAACUACAAUGUUCCCCUCAGCAGUACAGCACAAAGCACUUCAGCCAGAAAUAGUGAUUCCAAAUUGACGUGGUCUCCUGGUUCAGUUACAAACACCUCUCUGGCUCAUGAGCUGUGGAAAGUCCCUUUGCCACCUAAAAACAUCACUGCUCCAUCCCGCCCACCUCCGGGGCUGACUGGUCAGAAGCCACCCUUGUCUACGUGGGAUAAUUCUCCCCUUCGUGUAGGUGGAGGAUGGGGAAAUUCUGAUGCCAGAUACACCCCAGGUUCCAGCUGGGGUGAGAGCAGCUCAGGGAGAAUAACGAAUUGGCUUGUUUUGAAAAACCUCACACCUCAGAUUGAUGGCUCAACUCUGCGCACCCUGUGCAUGCAGCAUGGCCCACUGAUUACAUUCCAUCUGAACCUCCCACAUGGAAAUGCUCUGGUCCGUUACAGUUCAAAAGAAGAGGUAGUGAAGGCACAAAAGUCUCUGCACAUGUGUGUGCUGGGGAACACUACUAUUCUCGCUGAGUUUGCCAGUGAAGAGGAGAUCAGUCGCUUCUUUGCACAAAGUCAGUCUCUGACCCCUUCUCCUGGCUGGCAGUCUCUCGGGUCCAGCCAGAGCCGGCUGGGCUCCCUCGACUGUUCCCACUCAUUCUCCAGCCGGACCGAUCUCAAUCACUGGAAUGGUGCUGGGCUGUCGGGAACUAACUGUGGAGACCUUCACGGCACUUCCCUCUGGGGGACCCCACAUUAUUCCACAAGCCUGUGGGGUCCCCCAAGCAGCAGCGACCCCCGGGGAAUUAGCAGCCCAUCCCCCAUUAAUGCUUUUCUUUCUGUUGACCACCUGGGUGGGGGUGGAGAGUCCAUGUAACCGCAUAGGUAUAGACGCAAACUGUGACCUCAAGAUAAGAAGGAAAGGAGCACUAAGUUGGGCUCGCCGCCUGCAGCCAGGGCCACCUGUGGGGACAGCUAUUUUUCUGCACAUUUUCCACUUUGUUUUCCCCAGAACAUAUCAGUUUGAAUACUUGAAUCAUGCAGGCCAAUAUUAUAAUGUGAAAGGGUAUCUAUCUAUUUACACUCCCAAAUAGCGCCAUACAGCUAACCGUGUGGAAUGAGCUCACUGGUGUAUUCAUCAUGUUUAGCCUUCGGAUUCCUUCUUUCCUUCAUUUCCACCCCCAACCCCACCUUUUAUUUUUAUUUGUUUUUUUUUGUUUUUGUUUUUGUUUUUUUUUUUUUUUGCAAAACCGUUUUUUGGGCUGAUGUAUGAGCUUUUACCUUUGCACUGAGUGAUGUUCUCUCCGUCUGAUCGGCAAUAUGGGGGGGCAGCUGUUCCAGUGUAAAUGUUUACUCAAGGAUGUUCUUAAGGCGAGCGCUCUCCACUCCGCCUCAUGUCGCCUACCUUACUGUGGUGUCGUGGAGUCUAGAAGAUCAAGUUAAGAUACUGACGUAGGAUUCUUAAUGAAAGUAUUGCACCAGUUUUUUCAUGUUGUAAAACUAAAGAAUUUUCGCUCUACAGUUUGAGAAACUGUGGCCACCGCUGUGACCUGCAGCCCGCCUGCUGCCCAGGACGGGCCCUGCACUUUGAACAGGCUUUCCAUGUUGUUUUGAAGGUUCCCACGGUGAACCUUCUUGUUUACAGAUUUUUUGUUUGUUUUUUGAGAAAAAAAAAUGUUUACUCUUCCAUCAUUUAAAAAAAAAUUAAAAGACAAAAAAAAAAAAAAAGAGGAGGGUGGUUUAAAGACGCUUUCUAUCUCUGGGAAAAAGAGCAGCAUUUGGCCAUGUUCUUCUGUUUUCUAUCCCUGUCCUAAAUCAAAGAGCAUGGUUCUCAGGAAACCAGUUCCCCGUCAAAAAUCUUGUAGUUUCUUAUAGGAAAAAAGAAAACCCCGACUUUUAGCACUGAUAUUACGUAUUGCUCUGUUCAAGAAUUUUCUCUGCCAAAAAAAGAAAAAGAAAAAAAAAAAAAAAAGAAAACAAACCGCUUUGAGCUGGAGUUGCCGUCUGCUUUCAGAUGCUGUCCCUUAUUAGUGAGUGAUGAUGGUUUGCUGAUAAUCGCUAGGUGACUUUUUGUAACCCCAUCAGUGGCUCUCAUGUCUCUGCUCUCUUGUGACCGUGUUCAUGUUUAACUGUUGUACCUUAAAGCCGAGAUCAGUAACUAUGCAUACUGUAACCAAGACAUUGGGCUUACAGAGUUGUUUGUUGUAUAAAAAUUUUAAAUGUUGUUGCAAACUAACGAGUUACACCAUUUUAAAAUUUCUUUCCUCCCCAGCUCCUGUUUCUUUGCCCACAAAUGGUAUUAUAAUGCUUGCUUAGUCAAAGAAGAGAGACUAAACAAGGGUAAACUUUUAACAGUACAGAAUAUGCCAUCAUUUCAUUGCCUUGAUUCUAACUGUUUGUGUCCUAAGAUGCAAAAGAGGCUCUUUUUUAUAAUGAAAGUUACAGAGUUGCUGCACAUGAGGGUUCUCUCAUAGAGCAGCAGAUUAAAAAUCUAAGCAAAUAUUUGAACGUUUCACCUGAACUUCUCCACAAUCACCCUGAGAUAAUGUGAGAACAGUGGAAGCUGUAGCUUGCUCCCUCCUCCCCGAGCAUCUUUGGGAUCUUGUUGCUCAAAGCUCUUCUGUGGCUUCACCUCUGCCCCACCACCUGUGCCCAUCUCAAGCCUCAGCGGGACCAUUCGGAACAUGAAGCUUAGUGACUUGACAGCCUCCUAGUGUUAACCUCUCAUACCUCUCACACAGUGGGGAUGCCACCGACGUGCCCCUGCUCCUCACGGCGGGAGCGCUAGGGCAGAACUGUGUCUGUAUUCCAGUGUAUGACUUCAGAUCACGCUCCAGCUUGCCAGCUGUAAGCUAAUGGCGGACACCGCAACCUAAGCAAAUGUUCAGUGCGUUCGGUGUGUAUUGACGUCCAUACUGGUUUUUCCAAAAACCAAAGGUAGCUUUGAAAAACCAUGUGUGGAGAUAUUUGGAACGUUAAGCUGAGUGACCUUUUGGGGCUUUGAGUAGUAUAUAACUGACUUCAUAACUUCGUUAAUUGUAUUGUUAAAAGUGUUUGGGAGUUUUUUGCGCUUGUUAUGUGGAAAUAAAGUGUUUGAUU